Molecule: non-coding RNA, 125 nt
Organism: Brachypodium distachyon (stiff brome)
Lineage: Eukaryota; Viridiplantae; Streptophyta; Magnoliopsida; Poales; Poaceae
Source: Rfam
GUAUUACUCCCUCCGUUCCAUAAUUUUUGUCGAAAUAUUACAUGUAUCUAGACACUUUCUAGAAAUAGAUACAUCCAUUUUGAAACAAAUUUGAGACAAAAAUUAUGAAACGGAAGGAGUAGCAA